Molecule: ribosomal RNA, 460 nt
Filed under: uncultured bacterium
Lineage: Bacteria
Description: bacterial SSU rRNA
Rfam family: Bacterial small subunit ribosomal RNA
Source: RNAcentral
CAAGUCGAACGAGAAAGCGGGGGCAACUCCGCAAGUAAAGUGGCAGACGGGUGAGUAACACGUGAACGACCUACCUCCGAGUGGGGAAUAACACCGCGAAAGCGGUGCUAAUACCUCAUAACAUCUCAGGGUUGCAUGACCCGGAGAUCAAAGGCGAAAGCCGCUCGAAGAGGGGUUCGCGCCUGAUUAGCUAGUUGGUGAGGUAACGGCCCACCAAGGCAACGAUCAGUAGCCGGCCUGAGAGGGCGUACGGCCACACUGGAACUGAGACACGGUCCAGACUCCUACGGGAGGCAGCAGUGGGGAAUUUUGCGCAAUGGGCGAAAGCCUGACGCAGCAACGCCGCGUGGAGGAUGAAGGCCUUCGGGUCGUAAACUCCUGUCAGCGGGGACGAAAGCCCAAAAGGUUUGACUGUACCCGCUGAGGAAGCCACGGCUAACUCCGUGCCAGCAGCCGCGGU